RNAcentral lists this transfer RNA (74 nucleotides) under Lucilia cuprina (Australian sheep blowfly). RNAcentral describes it as "tRNA-Thr". It matches the Rfam family "tRNA". Rfam says of the family: Transfer RNA (tRNA) molecules are approximately 80 nucleotides in length. Their secondary structure includes four short double-helical elements and three loops (D, anti-codon, and T loops). The record is from RNAcentral. Lineage: Eukaryota; Metazoa; Arthropoda; Insecta; Diptera; Calliphoridae.
GGCGCCGUGGCUUAGUUGGUUAAAGCGCCUGUCUAGUAAAAAGGAGAUCGAGAGUUCGAAUCUCGCCGGGGCCU